RNAcentral lists this transfer RNA (72 nucleotides) under Toxocara canis (dog roundworm). It matches the Rfam family "tRNA". From Rfam's summary of the family: Transfer RNA (tRNA) molecules are approximately 80 nucleotides in length. Their secondary structure includes four short double-helical elements and three loops (D, anti-codon, and T loops). Further hydrogen bonds mediate the characteristic L-shaped molecular structure. tRNAs have two regions of fundamental functional importance: the anti-codon, which is responsible for specific mRNA codon recognition, and the 3' end, to which the tRNAs corresponding amino acid is attached (by aminoacyl-tRNA synthetases). tRNAs cope with the degeneracy of the genetic code in two manners: having more than one tRNA (with a specific anti-codon) for a particular amino acid; and 'wobble' base-pairing, i.e. permitting non-standard base-pairing at the 3rd anti-codon position. The record is from Rfam by way of RNAcentral. Lineage: Eukaryota; Metazoa; Nematoda; Chromadorea; Rhabditida; Toxocaridae. RNAcentral also lists the same sequence under 1 other name.
GCCUCAUUGGCUCAGGGGCAGAGCGUCUGUCUAGUAAAGAGAAGGUCGCUGGUUCGAUUCCAGCAUGAGGCA